Gossypium hirsutum (cotton) is the source of this 143-nucleotide non-coding RNA. The record is from Rfam. Lineage: Eukaryota; Viridiplantae; Streptophyta; Magnoliopsida; Malvales; Malvaceae.
UAUUAAAAAUUUCAUCCAUUUUUACUAUUAAAAACUAGCGUAACUGACGAAAUAACUAAACAGUUACACGUAGUAUGCCACAUAUACCUUAUGCUAAUGUACAGGGAUCAAUUUUUAACAGUAGAAAUGAAUUUUUUUUAUUA